RNAcentral lists this unclassified non-coding RNA (972 nucleotides) under Hevea brasiliensis (rubber tree). Lineage: Eukaryota; Viridiplantae; Streptophyta; Magnoliopsida; Malpighiales; Euphorbiaceae. The record is from RNAcentral.
GUUUUCUCUCACAGCAGUAGCCCAGCCCCCCUCAUUUGGUCCCACCGUGCCACUUCUUAACUGCCUUGACCCCUCAUCAAGGUUUUCAGACACUAGGAAGCAUCCUGCAAUGGAUGUUCUCAACUGCAGCUGUUCAAAGAAGAGUACUUGUACUAUAAUCCUUAAAGGGAGCCGUUCAUUCUGUGCAGCAUGUGUACAAGCUUCCAAGGAGAGUUUCUGGCAAUCCAUGAGCCUGCAGAGUUGUUCCCUAUCAGAUUCUCCCAACCAUGGAUGUGACUUGAGAUAAAUGUCAAUUGCACGAUAAAGGCCAUCAUCCAAGGGCCUUGCAUAUUCAGGAACAGAAGCAGCAAGAGUCUGAAAUUUGGGAAGCUUCAAGUUAACAUCUGGGGCAACCUCAGCAAGAUAUCCAUCGAUUAGUUUUGCCACCAUAGUGAUUGGUGUCAGAGAUGGUGAACCAAUCAAUUGCUCAUCAUCAAUGGAACAAGGUGAUUCACCACCAGUUCCUUGAUCCAUGGCUAAGAAGUGCUCUAGAAUUCUCUGUACGCAGUCAACAUUAUAAAGUGUUUCCAUCGAGUAAGAGAAAUUAGGCAUUAAGAGAUCUUCUAGAGUGGCCUGAUCAAGCUGCAUUCCUAUCCUUUUCUCCAAGUUUGAUAUGCAAGAGGGACAGGCUCGAAGAAUCAAAGCUGUUUUCAGUAGGCCAAAGAGGAAUUUAGUUGGAACUAGGCCUUUUUGCAUGGGAAGUAAAUUAUCCACCUCUUCAAGUAAAAGCUUCUGAUCUUCUUCUGAUAGAGAAGAACCUAAACCAACUGGUGCAAGUCGGUUAGUGGACUCAGAAGAGGUCUGCCGCCUGUUUAGCCCAGGCAGGUACUUUUUAGCAUAAUAACUGAGGGAACCAGCAACAAUAUCCUGUUUGACGCCUUGAGAUUCCAUAGCAGAAAUUAGCCUCUUGUAAAGAGGUAAACUUAAAGUUGA